CUGCAGUGUUGCUUCCAUUAAACACCUACUAAUCUGUUUUCCAUUUAUCCACAGUUGACCUUGUCAUUCUCAAAUCCUCUUGUGGCUGGCUUAAGAUCCUGCUCCAUUACCAUCUGAAGCAGAAGUGUCUGAAUCAGAAUGCCUCUACCAUCUGAAUGAAGGGCUAUUCCUGGUUGGGGCCAGAAGAUGCCUAAAGUAUCUGAUCAGACAAUAUGAGAGAGAAGGGGAAAGCACACGCAGGGAGAGCAGCAGGCAGAGUGAGAAGCAGGCUCCCUGCUGAGCAAGGAGCCUGAUGCAGGACUCAAUCCCAGGACCCUGCAUGGGAUCGUGACCUGAACUGAAGACAGACACUUCACCAACUGAGCCUCCAGGUAUCUCACUCCCAAUUUUUUUUGUAACUAAAGUAUAACUGACAUACAGUGUUACAUUAGUU
RNAcentral lists this long non-coding RNA (433 nucleotides) under Mustela putorius furo (domestic ferret). Its description in RNAcentral is "lncRNA (ENSMPUG00000025535.1)". The record is from RNAcentral. Lineage: Eukaryota; Metazoa; Chordata; Mammalia; Carnivora; Mustelidae.